Cucurbita maxima (winter squash) is the source of this 732-nucleotide long non-coding RNA. RefSeq lists it as uncharacterized. The record is from RefSeq and is a predicted model, not a curated record. Lineage: Eukaryota; Viridiplantae; Streptophyta; Magnoliopsida; Cucurbitales; Cucurbitaceae. The transcript is spliced from 3 exons.
ACACAAAGAGAGAGCGAAAUAAAAAGAUAUCUUUAGCAUGAUAGAUAAGAGAAUUUAAACACUAUAGCUUUGUGAAGAAGUCUUUUCUUUUUCUACUUUUUCUUUUCUGAUCUAUAAGCCAUGAAAGAAAAACUAUUUUCCUGUGAUUUACGUCGACUCAAUGGACUCUUGUCCACGAUUGAAGGGUUUCUUUGGCUUUUGGGUUAGAAACAUACAUUUGAGAUCUUUCCAUCAAAGAAGUAACUCAAUAGUAUCUAUUUCCUUGGUAUAUUUUAUGCACAUUUGAAGUUGAAGCGUCGAAGCAUUGAAGCGUUUGCUAUAUAAUUGAAAUGCAAACUUCCGAGCGCUUUAGAGUCCCUUGUGUUUUUCUUUGACAUUAAAGGUUUGGAUAUUUUUGGCAUUCAUGCUUGGGUUAAAAAGAGAAUAAUUCGAAAACGUUUUUUUUUUUUUUCUCCAACGGGAAAUUUAAUCCCCAAAUGGAGAUGAUCAAAAUCUAGUCUCACUUCCCCACCCCAAUGCCAUGCCUAGUAGGGUUUCUUCUCCCCUAGGGAGCAUGACUUUUAAGGGGAGGCGUCCUAAGCAAUCUAGUUAUUCCUCCUCCAAAGAUCUCUCCACCAAACUAAAAAUCGAGUUAUUCCUCUCAAGCCACACUCCCCACCAAAAUAGCGAAACCAGCAUGCCACAAGACUCUUUCCUUAUCUCAGAAAGAAGAAAUUAAAGGAAAAUGAAGCA